RNAcentral lists this transfer RNA (86 nucleotides) under Manoao colensoi. RNAcentral describes it as "tRNA-Leu". It matches the Rfam family "tRNA". Rfam says of the family: Transfer RNA (tRNA) molecules are approximately 80 nucleotides in length. Lineage: Eukaryota; Viridiplantae; Streptophyta; Pinopsida; Araucariales; Podocarpaceae. The record is from RNAcentral.
GGGGAUAUGGCGGAAUUGGUAGACGCUACGGACUUAAAAUCCGUCGGUUUUUAUAUACCGUGAGGGUUCAAGUCCCUCUAUUCCCA